UAACCUAUAAAGCAGAAUUUGGAUGAGAAGAUAUAAGAAAAGAAAAUGCAUAACCAGAGGCGGUAUCAGACACGAAAGUUCCUCCAUGAAUUUUGAAGUAAUAAGGUGUGAUAGGUCUUGCUCGUUGGGCCGUUUCGCUUCCAGAAAUGUAUAAUAAUAGUCAUUCGGACACCGAACGUCAAAUCUGCAGCAAACCGGGUUUGGACCUGCAACGAUCGAUUUGUUCCUCGAUUUGUUCUGCCAUCCGUCCUACAUCAUAGUCAUAUUCCAACUACAUAUCCUGAUUGCAUAAGGUUAAGACACACAUAUGAAAUAUCCUAUAACAAUACCAAAAUUUAAUACCAAAUUACGUGGUAUCCUACGGCCUAGGUUGCACGGACACGGACACGGCGACACGACACGGCGCGACAUGCCGAAACGGCAAAACUUAAAAACUGAGUUUUCGAUACGGCUUGGACACGGCAAACAAAAUUAUAUAUUUAUGUAUUUUUAAUAAAUAAAAAAUAUACUAAAAUAUGAAAUAAGUUCAUUACAUUACCAAAUAAAGUUCUAAAUUCAAUCUAUUUCAUAACCAUAAGAAAUAAGUCAAGUGCAUAACUAAUAACAUUAAAAACAGUAGACCUCUAGUACCUAAAGUAUAACAUUAAAGAAAAACAAACUUGAGCAGUAGCUUGUUUGCAAACAAGGCAAUCUAUAGCACAGUAGCACCUAAUAGACAAGAAGAUGAACUAAUAAUAAUUAUCAUAUCCAUAAUCCAUCCAAACUUUUUAUUCCAGAAUUGAUAUAAUAUAAAAUGAACAGAAAAUUUACCUCUCAUCUUCAAGACUCCAUCUGGUGAAGAGAUGAUCUAGAAGAGUCGGCAGAGAGAGGAGAGAAGAGAAUCAGUCAAGAGAUCGAAUGCCCGUCUCUCCUGCGUGUGCCCUAGUUAGGUAAUUUUUUUUAAAAGUCUGAAACGCUGACGUGGAGUGUCGCAAUGCCGUGUUGUAGCCGGUCAACGUGUCCACGACGUGUCCGAAAAGUCAACUUUUUCGGACACGGAUUUUGCCGUGUCGGGCGCGUGUCGGCGUGUCGGAAGUGUCAGACACUUCGACACUCCAGGAGUUUGGAGUAUCGGUGCAACAUAAGCUACGGCAUAUACACGUCAUCACACUCAAUUGAAAAUUUUCAGCAUAUAUAGUUUUCUUAAUUAAUAAAUAAUCGUAAAAAUCUAAUAAUAAUAAUACUUAGUUUCCUCAUGUGAAUGAAAUACGUGAUGGGAUUAACCUAGAGCUAGAAGACUAAUCAUCAAACACAUCCAAGAAUACGCAGCCGUAGUUCUUGUUUUUUUCUUUUUUUUUUAAAAAAAAAACUACAAGGAAUAGAUAUUUCAAUGGAAGAAAACGUUGAGAAUGAGAUGGAUGUUGCAUAUGAGGAAGAAGAUAUAAACUGUGGGAAUGAAGUGAUAAGUGCAAGUAGUCAUGUAGAAGAAAGUAUUGAUACAAUUGAGAGUGAAAAUGUGAAAGAAAGGGUAAAGGAGACAGAGAUUGGACUAGUCUUUGAUUCAAUUGAUGAGUUGGAGAAAUAUUAUAAAUCAUAUGGUAAAGGAAUAGGCUUUGAAGUUUGUAAAAGAACGUCAAGCAGAGGAGAUGAUGGGGAAUUGAAGUACAUAACAUUCACAUGUUCACGUUUUGACAAGCCUAAUAGCAAGUCAUGACAUGCAUUUAAAUUUCGACCAGUUACAAAAUCAGACUGCAACACUAAACUCGAUGCAAAUUUACUCCCAGAUGGAAAAUGGGUAGUGUCCUCCAUUGUGCUUGGACAUAUUCAUAAUCUUAGUACUCCAAGCAAAGACAGUAUUAUAAAACCGAAAGAGAUUUGCCGUCACGUGUUAAGAAGAGGUUAGCAACAAAUGAUAUAGCUGGAGUAAUUCACAGGUUCAGUUCAGCAAGGCAUGGUUAUGGCUUGCAACUAUGUUUGAUACUCAUAUUUUCCCAAGGUUCACUACAUGUACACACUUAAUCGAUACGUAUCUGCUUUCCUUUCUUUGACUACAAAGAUUUGAUCAAAUGGAAAUGGAUGAAGAUGUCCAGAAAAUGCAGUAGAACAUCAAGCCAACCUGCAUGAUUAAAGAUCGAGUACACGUAUUUUAGGAUGUUUAGAUAGUAAUUGUUUUGAACCACAAGAUGACAACUUCAACCGCUUGAACGAGUCUGAGAUUAUCAAAAUUUUCCCUGCUCCUUUCUCUAGAUGUUCUCUUGAACAAUAUCAUUAACGAUUCAACCCAAGAGAUGCUUUUCCUUAACCUGAACAACCAUUCGAAGACUUUCUGGUGCCUUUCUCCCUCGAUGAUUUUGUUCCUUUUCUCGUCUUCGGAAAAGCUCUAUUCUUUCGUCCCUAAAAUAGUGUACUUGGGAAGUUGGGUAUUCCUUAAGAGGACACUAAAUUAAUAAUUAAUAUAUGAAAAUAAAUUUUGUGAAUUUUGUUUUAGAAUUUUAUUCAAAAUCAAAUAGGUUAAUAAAAAUACAUGGUGGAAAAUAUUAGGUUUAAAAUGAUGAUGUGGCAUACACAUUUGGUAUAGAGUUUUUAUAUGAAUUUUUGGUGUCUCCAGCAUUUUCCUAGAAGAUAUUAGGUUUAAAAUGAUGUGCCACAUCUUUAGUAUAGAGUUUUUGUAUGAAUUUUUGGUGUCUCUAGCAUUUUCCUUACCAGAAACAACUACCACAGUAGCUUCUGCUAUUGAAUUCCUGGCAAAUCCUCGUUUCUGUUCUACUUCCUAAAGUGGUAGAGAAGGAGACGAGAACAGCCUUGUUUACCAGUUGCAGCUUUGCCUGGACUUAUCAGCCAAAAGUAAUCCCCUCCCACAAUUUGCUUGCUCAAUCUUCACUCGAAAAUGGAGCUUGUAGCACGAAAUCUGAAGCGAGUUCAAGAGAAUAUGGUGUGCGGAGAAGCUGGAAAGGUCUCUGGAAUCUUGAAGAGAAGAUCAGUGGUACUGUCUGGAGCUUCUUUGGUUUCUUCUGCGGUGUUGGGUUCUCCAGGAGAUGGCUUGGCCGUGAUUAAGCAGGGUCUUCUGGCAGGACGGGUUCCUGGUCUGUCUGAACUCUGAACCAGAUGAACAAGGUUGGUAUCCUUCAAUCCCUGCAUGUAUUAAACUCACUGAGAAUUGGAAACCUUCAAACUACAUUUGCGUUUUGCUCUAUAAAGUGUAUAUGCCUAUAUGGUCUCCAUUGGAUGAGUGUAUGCUUAGACAGGUUGGAGGACAUACCGCAGACCAGAUGAGAAGUCCGGAGGGCACGGCGUUGUUUGGAGCCCUAUCAUCCCUUAUCUCUUCUCUGUUCCUCAAGGUUGGGAAGAGGUGAUAAUCUAACCUACCAUGUAGAAAGAAUAUAUCAGUUAGUUGGUACAUUAAUUAAAGUUAUGUUGCUAAACCAAGUAAAGAUUCCAAAACACGAGUUUCCUUGUCACACAACGUUUAAAAGUUAAAACCAAUGUAUAAAACUGCCCUCAUUUUACAUACCUGUCUAUUUUUACCAUGGAACAGGUUCCAGUAUCAAUAGCUGAUCUUGGUGGAACAGAGAUUGACCUGAGAUUUGGUAGCGCCAACGAGGGACGCCUGUCGGUCAUUCUUGCUCCUGUUCUGAGAUUUUUGGAUAGUGAGUUUUGACACAAUUAUGUGAUGCAUUCCCCAUUAUCUCUAGAUAUUGGUAGCUUAACUUUGGUUUUUAUGCAACAGAUUUCGAUGGAGAUGCAACAAUUGAAAAAAUUGGCCGACCAGAGACGGUGAUCAAUGCAUUUGGACCUGAAGUUAUAGGGGAAAAUGUGGAAGGGAAGGUUAUGAGCAUCAAUGUCGUUCAAGAUUCUGGAAGAACAUAUUACCAGUAUGAGUUGGAGCCACCUUAUGUUCUGAUCACAGAAACUUGCAGCAGGAAUCUUCUGUACUUGUUUAAUGUAACUGGAAGUGGUAAACAUACUCUACUCCGACAUGCUUCAACAUAAAACAAAUAACUAAAUGAUACCAUAACUUGAGACAGUAACUAAACUGCUUUGGAUUUUGUAGGUCUUCAAUGGAAGAGGCAUUACAAAGAUUUGAAGAAGAUAGCAGACUCCUUUCGUCAGUUUCGUGUAGUCUAACUGAGUUUUUGUAAGACGAGAUAGGGAAUUAUAUUGUGCUUUGUUUUCAUACUUGUAGUGCCAUUCCAGUUAUACCCGAUGGCUAUACAUCCCAGAUUGACUGCUUGACCUUUUCUUUUAUUAAUCAACUGUUGAGCUUGACAUUCUGUGGAAUUAUCUGCACAGCAAACUCUUUCAUCACCAAAUCCCAUGCAUUGUACUUUUACGUGGUGUAAAUCAAUCUCUUAUGCCACCCUAGUGCUUCAUGGCUUCUGUUGUCACAUUUGUAUUUUGACAUCCCUACAUAAAACGAGUCGAAUAGAAUGCAAUUCUAAUUAUAUUGGAAUUCUUUAAAUAUCUUAUUGAUAUUUUGGUAUACUGAUAUACAUUCCUUGAUAGCUUGAUUGAUGCAGGACUUAUGUGAGAAUUAAUUCUGAUAUAAUUGAGCGUGAUGUGCAAGGGAAGAAGACUAUGUUGAUUCAAAUCAUUCAAUAUCAAAUUAUAUUCUCAUAGAUAUUUGAUUUAUAUCUCUUGCAUCUAUUUGGGAUAAAGUGGUACUAAUUAAUUUUCCUGAUUGGAUAUUGAUUAGGUGAUAGAGUGUUGCUAUUAGCAUGAGUAUGGUUUUUGUACAUGAAUGCCAAAUGGGGAGAUUGUUAGUAUAUAUUUAUGUUGGCAUUCUUAUACAAAAUGCUAGGAUGCCUUGCAUGUACAUUCAUGUGUUCCCUAGUUGGAUAUGAUAAUUUCAAUCACUAAUUCCGAUUUAGUUGGAUUAGAAUUAUCUUAUAUAACUAGCCUGUUACUUUGGAAAUAAGUCUUACUUUGAUUAGGACUUGUAUGUGUGGGAAAAUAAGGAAACCUAUUAUGAUUAGGUUUUAUGUGCAUGAAUAUCUGAUUGAACUUCCUUAUUAAUUCUGAUUUGAUUAGUAUUAAUAUUGGAUUUAAAUUCUCCUAUAUUUUGCUAUGCUAAUAAGUAAGGAAAGAAGUUCUAAUGUGAUUAGAAAUUCUUUCAUUUACUAUCAGAUUGUGAUAUCAAGAUUUAUAUUUAUCUUGUGUAUUCUUUUGACAGGAUAUUGCAUUGAAGAGAGCAAAAUCAAAGUGAUAAAGAAUUUGUCAAGGAUUGAAAGAGGAUUGAAGAUUCACGGAUCUGAUCUCAAUCAAGAUAAAUCACUAUCCAUAGCAUUCAUGAUUUUCUAAUUAUGUUCUAUGUGAUUACAUGCUGCAUUAAAUGAGUUUCUCAAAUAAAAGAUAUAUUUGUCAAUAAUUGAUUUGUUUUAAACUCUGAUACAUUUGUUUUGGAAAAUAUCUUAUCUGCCUAAAAUGACUUUGGUUUAAAUUGGAAAAUUGUGUUUUCCCAAAUUAUAGCAGAUUAGUUGAUUGAUAUUUUUCCAUAUCAAAACAAAGUGAUAGUUGACAUAUUGAUGUGAUUCUCUUAAACAAAUCAUUAUGUGUUGAUGUGCAUUAACUGAGGGGGAGAAGUCUCUUCUCUAUUAAUAGGUUUUUGAGAAACUGAAAACUAGAGAUUUUUGGAGUAUAGAAAAAGCUUUGAUACAUUGCUUCUGAGUUGAUAUUGUGUUCAUGCUAUUUCUCUCAUCUCUCACAUGUUUGAUAUGAUCUUCAUUAUUCAUUUGCAUAAGUGAUUGAGAUCAGUGAAGUUGAGAAGAAAAUAUAGGUUUGGUGAAUGUGUGCUCUAGAGAUUUUGUGUGAACAAAUAUUCAGAUCAUAGUAUAGUCAUGUGUGGCAAGAGACCUUCGUGGCUCCAUUGAAGACCUUUGUGGCUCCAUUGAAGACCUUCGUGGCUUCAAGUCCUUCGUGGCAUUUCAAGACCUUCGUGGCUUCAACGACCUCCGUGGCGUUAUCGUCCUUCGUGGCAACAAAGACCUUCGUGGCUUUGUAUAACACUUGACCGUGUUCUUCAAGUGUGAAGUAAUUUUACUUUUGAGAAUUUAUUACUUUUGAUCAUGUGUUGUCAAGUAAUUGUAACCUUCUAUUCAAUAGUAAAGUAAAGUUCUUCUAUAUAAUCCGCUGCUUAUCUCAUAAUCGUUCUAUCUGGUAUAGCCACUAAUAGUUUCAUGGUAAGCGUUGUACUCACCGCUUGCUGAUUGGAGUUAGUAAUUGAUCGACUCAACACAGAGCAUGAUUUACCCUGAAAGGCAUCCAAGCUAUGUGCCACAGGGCAUAAAUGCACUGCGGGCAGGUGUCUUUUCAAAGCCUUCGUUUACCAAGUCCAUUCUCGUCCUCUCAGCUUUUUCCCAUCUAUCAGAAGCAGCAUAAAUAUUUGACAGAAGCACAUAAUGUGAAUUAUCGGCUGACCGAAUGCUUGAAUUUAGCGUGCUAAUAUCUUUUGCUACCUGUUCUGUCAUUUCCAUAUCCAUAUAAAUCCGGCAAGCUCCAAGCGUUGCUCCCCAAACCAUGUCAUUGGGUUUGAUGGGCAUAUUUUUGACUAAAGAGUAAGUCACUCUCUUAACCUUCCAGCCCGUCCCAAUAGGUCAACUAAGCACCCAUAAUGCUUAAUUUUGGCUUCCAAACCAUAUUUCUUCUGCAUCUUGGAGAAAAUUUCCAUGCCUUCAUCUACUAAACCUCCAUGCGCACAAGCUGACAGAACAGCAAGAAAGGUAAUCUCAUCAGGCUUUUCAUUUGAAUCCCCCAUUCUGCUAAACAAUUCAAGAGCCUCCUUGCACUGUCCAUGAAUAGCCAUGCUUGAAAUCAUAGCAUUCCAACAAGCACUGUUCCUCUCAGUCAUCUCCUCAAAAAUCAACCUUGCAUUGAUCAAGUCGCCACAUUUUGCAUACAUGUCUACAAGAGCAUUGUGAACAAUCUGAUUAAGCCUGUUAUGACUUAACAUGUUAUGUAUAUCCUUGCCAACAUCUAAUAGCCCAGACUGAGAACAAGCAGAUAAGACACUCACAACAGUAAACUCAUCUGGCUCAAAGCCUUCAGCUUGCAUGUUCUCAAAUGCUUUCAAAGCUUCCUCACAAAAUCCAUUUUGCGCAUAUCCAGACAUCAUCGAAUUCCAAUUUACCAAGUUCCGGACUGGGAUUCUAUCAAAUAUCGUCUUAGCCUCCUCAACAUCACCUAUCUUGAAAUACCCAGAAAUCAUUGACGACCAAACAAAGAAGUUGCGCUGGGGCAUUGCUUCGAAAAGUUCCCUUGCCAUCUCCAUCUGCCCAUUGCUACAAUAUCCAUCAACCAUCACAGUCCACGUAAUCACAUUCUUCAACUCCGGUGGAACCUGAUCAAACAACCUCCUAGCACUAACAGUAUCUCCAGUCCUCGCAAACCCACUAAUCAUCUCAACCCAAGUCACAUACGUCCGCAAUGACAUCUUCUCUGUUGGAACUUGUGUGGUAUUAAUCCCACGUUGAAGAAGAAUUAAAUGUGUGAGUCUUUGUAUGGAAACACUUAUGUAACUCAUUAAAUGGAUGAUAUGCCUAAUAUAGGUUUGGUAGGCUUUCUAUUGGGUUUUUCAAUAUAAAUAAAUAAAUAUAUAAUAUAUAUUUAAUAUAUAAUUAUAAAUUUAAUUAUAUAUAUUUAAUAAAAGCCAAAGAUUGGGCUCCGUUGAUUAAAUCCGAAUUUAAUUUUUUAGAAAUUAAUAUUAUUUAAUUUAAUUAUUAAUUCGGAUAAAUAUUAAAAAGACAUAAUUGUCCGAACAGUUACAACUGUCCGAGCAGUUGUGUCUGUCCGAACAGUUAUACCUGUUCAAAUUGACUUUUAUAUAAAAACGACUUAUGUCGUUGUUUUUCGAUCGAAUCAUUCUUCUUCUUCCUUCCCAAAACUAUUUCUUCUGAAGCAUAAAGUAAAUUCGCCAGGGUGCAAGAACUUGAACCAGAUAGUUGUAUCAUCUAGAUAGACGUCUGAAACUGCAGCACAAGCGGGAACAGAUUUCUAUCUUAUGUCACUGUACGGCAGGUCUUUAUCUGAUCAAUCAAGUUAGUAUUUUUUAGUUAUUUUGUUAUUAUUUUCAAUUUCGUUGUUAUAUAUAUAUACUGUUUUUAAGCGGAUAUUGGAUUGGUUCUAACAUUCUCAAACAAAGACAAUGCAGAUGCUGCAUCCCCAUUUCUCCAGUACCCACCAAUCGUGGCAUUCCAACUUACCACAUUUCUCUCAGGCAUAUAUAAUCAAACACUUUCCGAGACUCAAUAAUGAUUAAUGUCCCCGCAUUUCGCAUACAUGUCAACUAAUGAGGUGCCAACCGAUACAUCACAAAUCUGUAAUAUUAGAUAAGAACUAGUCUUAUAUAUAUGCAUAUCAGCAAAUGAAUUUUAUGAACUUAAAUACUGUACUACUUUGUAAAGCUGCAUACAUAUAUAUAGUCAAUAUUAUCGAAUUGAUAUAAUGCAGUUGAGUUUGUUUAGAAUUUGAAAUUCAAAGUAUAAAACAUCAAGACAAAGGAUAAGAUUAAGACAAGAAGUUGUGGCAGUUCCUUGAUGGAAGGAACCGACAAAUAACUGACAAUGAGCAGUUGAGAAUUGCUCCAUUUAAGCCUUUCGAUCCCUGCUAGAACACUACACAUUCUCAUUCAUAUUUGUCCCAUCAAGCAAAAUAAGAGAGUAUACAGAAGUGAAUCUAGGAGAAGAUUGAUAUGGAUCCUGACAUGAAUUCCUACAAUGCUGCUGCAAGUUAGUCUUUAAACUUAUAUACAUUUGAUCCAUUAUUUAGCAUAGCUUAGUUAAAUCUUCAUGUAUGUAUAAUAUUGAAUCUAACAAAAUCACACCAGACUUGAUACACUGCGUGCAUCAAUUUCCCAUGCUUUAUUGACGGAAGCGAUGCACAAGCCUUGAGAAUCAAAGGGAGUACACCCCAAGUGUAGAUGCCUUUUCGACGAAAUUGGGUGUAGACUAGAAGCGCUUGUCGAGGUGAUCCUUGAGAGAGCACAGGAAGAGCCGGGAUUUCGUUCCUGGUGUGACGAACUUCCAAAGUCUCUCUCUCGCUGUUUUGGCCACGAUCCUCAGCAGGGGUAGAGAGGUAACUUGUGCUACCAAAAGUAAAUUAGGGUUUGCAGGGCGUGCCACCGCGCGGACGCGGAAACGAGAACGGUGCGCGUUCUUGACUUCCAACCAGGCGAAGUAGAGCUCCGGUGUCACCUCGCGGGCGAGGAAUUACGAGCAAACUAUCUAGUCACCUGUGAAUCGAUACUCACUGUUCGAAGCGAGCAGAGCAACAAUUAGGAAGGGGAGGCGAGUCCAGAUGGGCUCUGAGAACUAAGGCGGGGUGCACUUAGAACUUAGGGUACGAGGAUGCUCGAAGAUUUGUAUUUGUUUUGUAUGAUUGAUUGUGUGUCUCGUAGAGUUUGCUCGAACUCCUUUAUAUAGAGUUACUUAGGGCCACAUGUAUUGGCCCAAAGCAUGUCAAAGACUUGUAGGAGUCUUCAACGAUAAACGUGGCGUAGGCGAUGUUAAUCACUUGUUGGCCGUGAUUAUCCUUUGGCGAAGUAACUAACUGCCUCUGUCUAGAAGACUUGAGUUAGAACACCUCAUGAUGACUUUAGACGUGUGCUAUUGGAUGCUGUUUCCUUAUCCAAUUGAGACAUUGUAGGGAUAGAUAUUACUGUAUUGUUAUUAUCCCAAAGGCAUCAAAAUUGCCUUAGAAUGCUAACCCUUGAACGUGAAUGUCAUGCAGGCACAAUGAUUGCCUCCUAACACGACUCUCUGGACGUGGAAGUAUGCCCACGCAACCAUAUAUGAUAACUUGACAAGGACAAAAAACCUUACUGACCACAUACUCUAGCAUGCAUGUUCACGUACUGGCUCGAUCAUGCAAUUAAACACUGCUCCAUUCUUUAUUUAAGGGAACGGCGGGAUGCUGGCGAGAUUCCCUUGAGAUGCCAUCGAGAUACUCAUAAGCCAUGCACGGGUCGCGUCAAGAUGUUUAUUAAUUAAAGAAGACAUCACCUCCGAUUACUCAUGCGAGAUUGCUCCUUCAAACAAUUAAAGAUAAUUGCCUCUUAUCUAAUCAUGUUGGCGGCUCACAGUUCACGUCCCUCUCUUAGUACCACACGAAAUCUUCUCAUGUAAAGUCAACUCUGCGCCAACUUCAAUCGAGCUCGCAUGACUUUGUAGGCGAGGUGACCCGCCUCUAGUAAACCCAAUAUUACUCGGGCUCGCCGGUGUGGACCAUGAAUUUAAUCAACAUUCAUUUUAGACAAUUACUGUCCAGUAAAAUAUUAAUUUGGGUGUAAACACUUGCCACAAUUUUGAACUUCCAAGACUUUAUGCUACCAUAACGACAAAAAGAAGUUAGGAAACUAAUUCAAGAGACGACAAUUAAAUCUACUAGCAGUGAUAAGAGGCUUGAGGAACUGAGCGAGCGAGCAUCUUAUUUGCUUGAAAUCGUGAUGAGGAAACGUUGUAUGCAGCGGCCAGAGGUAGAAUUUGUUUUUAUGUGGAAAUGAGUCGAAGCUCGGAUCAUAUUAGGACGUCACCGCCUCAAGUUAGGGAAUGUAUAUCUGGUGGCUAGUGGCGGAUCUAGGAUGAAAAUGCUACCAGGGCUAAUCGUAACACGAAAAGAAAUCAAUGAAACUCAACUCGACGGUGCAAGAAAUUUUUGAAACUUGGGACUAACCAAAAACCCAAGCUUUGGUUGAAUACUUGGAUAUAAUGUAAAGAUGGAUUACUUCAUUAGUGGUGAGCAAGUUUACAGACUUGCAAACCAAAAUUAGCAGAAACUAUACAAAACACAAAGCAGAAACGCAGACCAAAGGGUUGGGUUUGUUCCAGUCUAUGAGAAAUCCAGAAAUGCAAAAACACAAAGCAGAAUAAAUAAAAUGGUUGGGUUCAAAAAUCAGAAUGAUGCUAUUACACAAAUGGUUGAUAGAUAUGCUUCAGUGUGGAUUUAUUCCUAAUGGUAGAUUCUUUGUUUCGAAAACACUGAGUUUAUGUAAACUCAAAGUUGAAUGUUUUGUGUAAAGGCUCUUGAUCUGGUCCCCAGAUACUUCACAAUCUUCUCACCUCCUUCAUAUGCUCAACUCUGCAUGUAGUAUUUUUUUUGGGUUUGAAAUUGUCACCUGGGCUCCAGCCUAGGUAAGCCUAGGGCUGGAUCCGCCCCUAAGUGGUGGUGGACACACGAUUUUUUCUGUGGUGUGAGGGCUAUUUUCAUUUUUUUUUUAAUGAUAUGAAAUAUCAUUCAUCACAAAUAGAUUACAAAGCAUAUCCUUCUACUAUCUUACAUCUUACGUACAAAAGACAGAUAAAAAUAAGCGACUUGUAAGGGACUCCAGCCUCGUUACACGUUAAAGCUCACUAAACCAAACAAGUCUAUAAUAUUAAAAAGCAUAAAUUAUAGCCAACUUAAAAAGUUGAAAAAAUAAAGUUCAACUUUACCACUGAGAGUGAGCUUAUUUGCAAAAGGAAAAAACCUAAAAAGAAAUUAAAAACAGAGAGCGAAUUUAGAGAAUCUCUUUGCCCUUAGAGCUAGGGCUAGGAGGUUUGGGCAUCACUUCAAAACUUGGCUUAUGUUCUUCCUUGUUUGGCUUUGGCUUCGGACGUUCUUGGAUCUGGAUUUGGGGAAAAAAAUUCCAUUGCAGAGCUUCUCCAUCUCCGUCAAAGAAGGUGGAUUAGGAUUGAGGGGUGUCGCAACCAAAUAGGACUAAGAAUCCCAACGUUGCAUACCCGAGAUCUUGGUGACUUUGUCUAUGGAGGACGACGCCAUGGAGGAGAAGAUGUAGGAGGAGCGUGUGGACGAAAUGUUUGCUUUUGCAGAGGAGAAGAUGAAGUCCGAGAUGGAUAUGGUAUUCAUGAUAUGGACGUAUUGAUGAGAGGAAGCCAUGAAGAUCGAUUGCAGGAGGAGGAUUUGGGGUUUGGUGCGAGGCAAAACUCGCUUAAGGUUUAGGUGUGAGCAGUGGCGGACGCAGAGGAUUUGGGCUAUUUUCACUAAACCAACUAUUCAGGCAAAUUAGUUGAAACUCCUCUUAGAAAUGUAUCUAAACGUUGCUCAAUUCAGCCAUAAGAUAUUCAGAAAAUCAUAAUCAAGGGCAAUAGCCCAAAUGCUAAACCAACACAUUACAUAAAUUGAAGAUGAAAGUAACCUCAGUGCCAUACAUCAGAUAGCAGCACUCUAGCCAAAACAAGUAUCUCGAUCAGUAUAUCACAUGGCUAUAUAUAUUACUCCGGCAAAGGCGAGUACACUGUCCAGCCAUAAUUUAAUUACGGCUUUCUCCAAACACCGUCGCUGCUCAAAGUAAAAGGCUCCCUUCCCCAGCUAAGAUGAAAUAUCAUGUCUGAAAAUUUACUAUCCUUUCCCAAUGUGGCACAAGCAAUUGACGUUGAACUACUUAGAAGCAAUACCUGGUGCCCCAAACUUCGUAUCCUAGUCCAUUCUUUUCUUGACCGAUCAAAUUGAUACAAAAACCAGUAGUGGCUACUAGCAUCAUGAGCUAGGUCAGACACUGCCAAUAAUAGCUUCCCAUCGAUCGACUCAACCAAGUAAAAGGUCCUGCUUUCAUUAUGAUCUUCUAUUUCUAUGUAUGUAUAGUUCAUGACCCAGUUCUGAAGUGCUAUAUCGAAGGUACAGAUAAACACUGACGUCGAACCAUUGGAGAAAUUUUUCUGAGGAAAAGUACAAUAGACAAUUCCAUCUACACAAGUAACUCCCGUGACAGAACCGUGAUAUCUAGUUCUGCAAAUACUCCAUCUUGUAUCCCCGAGCUUGCAAGUGUAUAUGAUGCGAUCCGUAUUAUGUCGAUACUUUUUGCAGAGGACAAAGAUAACAAAGUUGGGAGAAGUGGGAGGGGUCGUGAAUGUUGCAAUGUCUACAUAAAGCUCCAUCUCCAAAUCUAACCCGGGCAGUUGUAUAACCUCAUUGCAAAAGGGAUUGUAUAGAUAGUAGUAUUGUUUGCGCACGUAGAGAAAUUGCCGUCUAUACAAAAGGAACCAACCAUAUUUUGACUCACAGGGUCCUGGUUCUGUUCGGUCCAAGUCCCUGACUGUGUAUUUGUAAGUUUCACCCUCCAUGUCUAAGAACUCUACAGAGUUUUUAGACUUAUGUGAUAUCUCGAGCUCUACAGGGUUCUUAGUCGACCUAUGUAUGUGUUUACCAUCAAGAAUACAGGUAUAGCUCAUCAGGUAUGGAACAAGCAAUGUGGAGCGUUGCGGAAGAUGAACCUUAUGUAUGACAAGUCUCCAGGUCUUGCAUACGGCAGCAGAACGAAUAAGAUCCCAAUAUGGGAGACGAUUGACAACUUCGCAUAAUAUAUCACUUGGAAGGUCGGACCAACAAGACUGUUUAUUGUCUGCCAUCUGCAUCCAGUUGUUAUUAGUGUAACUAUUGAAACAUCGCCAUUCUUCUUCUUCUUCUCCUCCUCCUCCUUCUUGUUCUUCUUGAGAAGUCGUUCUCGGCUGGAGGCGAGAGGGGAGAGAGAGCAAUAACAACUUCGAUGAUAUAGUUUGAGAUUUUUCGACAACCGCUCGAACCCAUCCAGAAAUCAUCGUUGUCAUCCCUGGAUAUCUUUCUUUGAAAACCCUAGCUAGCUCAAGCCCUGCGGAAUAGAAAUCAUGGUCCUCGUUAUGCCUAUUCUAUUUAUAUAAUUAUAUUGAAGGGUCGUGUUCCAGCGGAAUUCCACAUUCGGUUGGAGUGGGAGAGUAUAAUCAGCACUAAUAUUAGUUCUCCGCUAAGAUUUAGUUAAUCAGACGAACGAAUCCUAUGUUUAAUUAGAAGGGUUUUGUUUUCUAUUCUUGUUAGAUUUGGACUCUUUAUUUUUUAUUUGCUGAAAUAUAUGAAUUGUUACUCACAAUAUUAUAUCAUUUGGUUGAGAAAAUAGCUUGAGGAAAUAGUUAAUCCGCUUCCGUGCGUCGGUGUGCGUGAUUUUAGUGACAGUGAAAACCAAAUUAUGUUUACUCUAUGCUAAUUGGUAUCUCACAGUUAUCUAUCGGCCAAUGCUUCUAGUUUCAUUCCUGAGUAAGGGCAAUGACAUAGAGCUACUGACUGAUAUUUUACAUGGUCCACAUUUGUAGGACUGUAUGUAUGCAAGAUUGAGUAUUUGUUUAUCAUCUCUAGUUAGAGAAUUGCAUGGUUCGAGAGAUCAAGUUUUUGUUUCCCUCUUUAAUUGUACUACCUUUAUAAUUUUUAAUAAAAUAGGGGGCUGAUUACCCUCUUUUCCAAAAAAAAAAAAAAAAUAACAAACACAGUUAAUUAAGAUAUUUUUUCUUAAAGGCUUCAGACCUAACAUCUAUUUUUUGUAAGAGAAAAUCUUACAUGCCACGUGGACGGUGCGACCCACCAGUCACAGGCCGAUGCGUGGUUUUUUUUUUUUUUCUACAACUCUUCUCCCUUCCUCCCUUCCUCUUCUCCGGUGAAACCGAUCCCCUCUGGCGAAGCUUCAUUUGGAUCUACAAUGACGGGUGACAAGGAUUCGUGGCAGCGGGGUUUACACGGGUUGGUGUAGAGGCGCGGCUCAACGGCGACAGGUUUCUACGAGGCUAUGGCAGGUUGGAGCAGUUAGGCUUAUGGUGGAGGCGGCGGGGGUUCCAGGUUUGAGGCGGCGGUUGAGCAGAGGGAAAGAACAUGCUGUGUUUUUUCGCCAGAAGGGAUCGGUUUCGCCGAAGAAGAGGAAGGGAGGAAGAAGAAGAGUUGGGGAAAAAAAAAAAAAAAAAACACCCGUUGGCCUGUGACUGGUGGGUCGCACCGUCCACGUGGCACGGCCGUCGCACGCAAGAUUUUCUAUUUUUUUAAAGCACAUUUUCUUGAAUUAAUUGAACUAGGGUUGUCGUGCGCCUCUACUAUGCUCGUCAGGCUUCUGGCAUUGUCGGAGGUGGUGAGUGCAGCCGGACGAAUUGUAUAUUGUUGUGAUGAUGGCUUGUCGAAGGAUUGGUUAUGGACUUCUGGCUAGCUAUUGGAAGAGGAUGUUGAUUGUCAUAUUCAAUGAGAGGCGGCUGGAGGGCGCUGCAUUGGUGGUGGUUUCCUCUUGGGGUCAUUUGCAUCUCAAGGCGUUAUUGCAUCACAGGCGGGUCAAGAUCGGGUCGCAGGCCUUGGCUAGAGGUGGGCUACCUAGGUGCCGGCGUUGAACAAAGAGGAUGCAGUACUAUGGAGAACACUAGUAUAUUUGCAAUUCAAGCCGCAAAACACAUGUGACUAAUACGUUAUUUAGUUGCUAAAAGUUUGGCUUUGUUGACCAGUGUUGUGGGAUCUGUCCUGGUCAUAGUGGGAAUCUAUGUUGUACUGUGGGGGAAAAGUAAUGAUGCAAAGGAAAUUGGGAUGAAGCAGACAUAAGCAAAUGAAGAAGGUGCAUAUGUCCCUUGAUAUGGAUUCAAACAUGUAUUAGUUUUUACCUAUAUGCAUGUCGUGUUGUUAAUCGAAACCUAACUUGCAGCCUCUUUAAUUAAUACAAUCCACUUUGCUCACCCCAUAUUUUUUUUACACCUCACUUAUAUAUUUUUAAUACAAUCCACUUUGUUCACCCAUUUAUAAUACUUAAAGUAACCAUUUUCUCAUUUCUACUUUGUUCAUCCUAUAUAUAUAUAUUUUUUCGAUUUCAUAUAUCAUUUUUUUAUAUAAUCAAAAAUCCUUAUCUUCCUCAUCAAAAGUAUGUAGAAAUAUGUUGUAUAUCCCAUAGUUGUGUUUCGGUUCAGGGAUAAUAAGGAGAAGCACAAGAACUUGGAAUUAAUAAGAUUCCUUCUUAAUACAUGGUAUUGAACACUCCAUGUCAUACAACUGCGACAAAGAAUCCAUAUUUAGACUUUACUUAAGUGCCUAAGCAUCGUAUAUAUGUAGUGCUUCAUAUAUAUAUAUAUAUAUANNNNNNNNNNNNNNNNNNNNNNNNNNNNNNNNNNNNNNNNNNNNNNNNNNNNNNNNNNNNNNNNNNNNNNNNNNNNNNNNNNNNNNNNNNNNNNNNNNNNNNNNNNNNNNNNNNNNNNNNNNNNNNNNNNNNNNNNNNNNNNNNNNNNNNNNNNNNNNNNNNNNNNNNNNNNNNNNNNNNNNNNNNNNNNNNNNNNNNNNNNNNNNNNNNNNNNNNNNNNNNNNNNNNNNNNNNNNNNNNNNNNNNNNNNNNNNNNNNNNNNNNNNNNNNNNNNNNNNNNNNNNNNNNNNNNNNNNNNNNNNNNNNNNNNNNNNNNNNNNNNNNNNNNNNNNNNNNNNNNNNNNNNNNNNNNNNNNNNNNNNNNNNNNNNNNNNNNNNNNNNNNNNNNNNNNNNNNNNNNNNNNNNNNNNNNNNNNNNNNNNNNNNNNNNNNNNNNNNNNNNNNNNNNNNNNNNNNNNNNNNNNNNNNNNNNNNNNNNNNNNNNNNNNNNNNNNNNNNNNNNNNNNNNNNNNNNNNNNNNNNNNNNNNNNNNNNNNNNNNNNNNNNNNNNNNNNNNNNNNNNNNNNNNNNNNNNNNNNNNNNNNNNNNNNNNNNNNNNNNNNNNNNNNNNNNNNNNNNNNNNNNNNNNNNNNNNNNNNNNNNNNNNNNNNNNNNNNNNNNNNNNNNNNNNNNNNNNNNNNNNNNNNNNNNNNNNNNNNNNNNNNNNNNNNNNNNNNNNNNNNNNNNNNNNNNNNNUAUAUAUAUAUAUAUACAAGCCGGAUCAGAGGCGCACGUCCGCACCGGCCUUAAAGUGCGGACGUCCCUCCGUUCACCACCGUACGGCGCCAGCGAGGGCGCGCCUUCACCCUAGCAGACUUCAGCAGCGUCCCCGACCACUUUUCCUCCCCGGCGAGUCAGCCGAAUUCCAGUUUUCCGGCCAAAUCACCCAAAACUUCAAACAAAGUCGAUCUGGCCGGAAAACUGAAAUUCGGCAGACUCACCGGGGAUGGAAAGUGGUCGGGAAAGCUGUUGGAGUCCGCUGGGGUGGAGGCGCGCCCUCAUUGGCGCCGUACGGUGGCGAACGGACGGACGUCCGCACUCGAACGACUCCGUGUGUGUGUGUGUAUAUAUAUAUACAGUUCUUAUCCAGAGCGAAGCUUCACUUUGAAAUUAAAGUGUGAAGUUCCUUAUUUGACUCACUUUUCAGUCAUAUUUCCACAUCUCCACCGUUCAGUUUGUAGAACAUAAUGCAUAGAUCACUUCUGCCAAGUUUCAUUGAAUUUGAUGAUCGUUUGGGUUUUCAUAAUCGUUAUUUACACAAACAGUUAUGAAUAGACAAAUUUAUGAUCCGUUCGUUGAUUUAAUCUGAUUCGGUACCUUAACGAUUACCGAAUUGGAUGAAACUUGACAAGAGUGAUCUAUGCAUUAUGUUAUACAAACUGAACUGUGGAGAUGUGGAAAUAUGACCGAAAAAUGAGUCAAAUAAGGAACUUCACACUUUAAUUUCAAAGUGAAGCUUCGCUCUGGAUAGAAACUGUAUAUAUAUAUAUAUAUAUAAGAUCUCUUAAGUAUUUAUUGUAGUUGUGGUAUUACUUGACUUAUUGCAGUUAGGCACAUAUAUAGCUCUAGGUAUCUUCCGUUGUUCUAUAUAUUCUCUAGUUUGGAUAAGAAGAAUAAUACUAUGUAAAUUGACAGAUAAAUCAUUUGGAAGCGAAAUCAGUUGAUUACGCGCGAGUAGUCCAAAUCGACCCAGCAAUAAGUAGAAUGUUUUGGAUAUUGAUCGGAGAAUGUGAUUGAAAUAAAUAAUCAAUCAAAGAGAAAAUGGAACCCUUCCAACAAGUAGUAGGAGUAUGAGAGUAAGACCAAGCAUGUGUUGUAUAAGAGCUAUUCCUAAACAUAUGCGUAAGCGUCUCUGAAUGAGAAUAACAUAAUGCGCAGUUUUUAGAAAUAUGAGAUACGUAACGAGAGAUCAUCAUCUAGUCUUAAGAGGUAGGUAAAGCUUCUCCAAAUUCUAAUUAGUGAUGCGGCUGUAGAAUGUGUACGAUAAUUUAUGUAUUGAAGCCAGGAAGCAGAUUUAAUAGAAAAAUGUCCAGAUUGAGUGGUAGGUUUGACCACAGAGUUUUAAUUUUUCAUUUUCAUGAAUAGUAUUUUAAUGGGGCCUGAAAUGUUGGGCUUUAGGCCCAUUGAAACAAAGUAUGUAGCCCACUAGCCCUUCUAUUUAUAACGUGAGGACACAACAGACGUCAGAAGUUGAGUUCAGAACUCAACCAGUUUGUACUCUUCUUAUCUUCCUUUUCCGUGCGAGCAUGGCCAGACCGGCGUCCUCCGUUCGCGGCAGCUCGGUCGUCGGCGACAGGCCUUCGACGCAUCUCGGAGAUGCGCACCACCAGAUCUCUGCCGCCUUGCGGAAGAAACUUUCAAGUUCGAGGAUGGUCCUGUUGAUUGGUCUGGUUUCGAUUCCCUAUAGACGGAUGGAGAAGAAACUGAAUCGAGAAAAGAAGAGGCGGAGGCCGACGGAGAGAAGAAGCUGAGGCUGCGAGGGUGAGAGUUUGUGGAUCUGACUGCCCCUUAGCCGUCAGAUUAAGCUUGAGCCACGCCCAACCGUUCGAUUACGCCUAAUCAACGGGUAACUGUUCGAUGCGCUCAGCCCUCCGAUUAAAUCCGAGCAUUCCAGCUCCGUCUUGUGGUGAGCACCACCUGAUCGCUACCAAGUUGGGCUUUGGGCUUAUGGGUUAUAUAUGGUGACUCUAUUGCGAUCACACCCCCACUCUCUACUUCGUCGCGCUCCCACCCUAAAACCCUAGAAAAGUUUAAGCUUCAUCCAUGGCGUCACUGCAGAAUUUGGAGUCCUCCAUGCUAUCAUCCAUGGCUUCUGUACUACAAUCCAAGCAGGUAAUUCACUUCACUUCACUACUCUCACACUUAUCUCACAAUUCUAUCACAACUGAGCUGAUUAAACGAGCUUUUACUGCCAAAAUUCAAACCGUAAUCUGGUAAAGUACGUCACUCAGAUAAUAAUAUGAACACUAGUUGUUGUUUUACUGCUGCUAUUUAGAUGAGUUGCCUUUUGCUUAAAAUUGUUUUAUCAUAGUUUGUGAACAAAUAGGUUAUGAUUGAUCUAGUGCACUGUAUUAUCUUUGGAAUUUGCAGAGGUAUGAGAGUUUCGAAACUGAUCUCGAAUCAUCAUGUCAAACUUUUUGAUCUAGUAUCUGAGAACUUAACACUAGGUUCGAUGAGAUUCGGACUCAGUUUGACAGAGACUUGGAUGCAUUUCUGAAUCAUUCAAAAGCGUAUCACAAUGAGCUUAAUGUUUACAAUGACAGAGCUGAGAGCAAACGCUUAAGUUCUGAUGGCAAUGAGGCAAUCCACUUUGAAGAGUAUUCUAAACUCUUCAAAAGUUAUCAGGAGGUAUUUGAGGAGUAUAAGUCUACAUUCUUGUCCUCAAAGGACUUCUAUCUGAAGUUGGAUGCAGUUGUCAACAAGCUUGCUAGAAACUACUGGCCUCAGGGCAAUGUUGGUCUCUAGGUAUGUAAUUUGUUCAGUUUGUUUUUUGAAUUGUUUGGUUUAUUGCUAUUAUGCUUUAUACAUUGGGUUUUGUUGAUAGUAUAGGGCCUUUGUUAAUUUUUCUUUUCUUGUCCGUAGUUGUUUCUUGUUGUUGUUGUUGUAUGUGCUAUUGUGUUUGGCUUUGCGUGAGUUAUGAUUCCCCAAGGCCCUGUUUGGUCUUGGCCCCUGAAUGUCAUUCUUUGUGUAUUCUUGUGUAACCUAGUAAGACUGAGGUUGCUUAUUCACUGAACCAACAAGUCCAUAAAAGGAGAGAUGUGGAGGUAAUUGCUGGUUGAUAGGAUUUUUUAUAUGGAUCUCGAUGAACACUCUUUUACCUAUAAUGCCAGUUUCCAUUUAUUUCCUCCUCUUAGUUUCCUCAUUCUUUCUCUGAUCUUUUGUUAACUCUGCUCUUGUGAAACAAAUUAAUAAGAGAAAGGGGAAGGUAGAUAGAGCCCAAGGAAGUUUUGGAGUAUUGGUGGCUAUUUAAGAGAUGAAAAGACCCGUUCUUUCCAUGAACAGCUUCUGUUCCCUAUGCCUCCUGUCCCCCAUGAUUUCCUCUGGUUCCUCCCUUUCCUUCUUCUUUCUGUAACUCUGCUUCUGACAAGUUAGGUAGCUUCUUCUCUCUUGAUCUAUUUAUCAUCUUCAUAUGUUCGGCUUGUUAUUAGUAUAUGAGAUGAGCUUUGUUGAUGCAGCAAACCUACUGCGUAGAUACCAGGAUCAACAAGCUCUAAAGCUUAGGGUUUUAAACACACACAAAACACUUUGAUUUGGGAAUCACUCCCUGGUUUCUCACCAAAUCUAGGCUUCUCACCCAGAACUAGGCUUCUCGCCAAUCCUAUCACAUGAAAACUCAGAAAAUACUCUGAUAAUUCUAUAGCAUACCUGGGUAUUAGGCCCUUACCAUGGACUGCACUAAAGACUCUUAAAGACUCUUCUAAAACUGAAGCAUUAAAGACUCAUUAGGACUCUCUACUGAAACUGAUGCAUUUGAGACUAACUUAAAGAGUCCUUAAGACUUCUAAACUGAAAUGGAAAUAUGAAAAGACACAGGCAGCUUAGAGACUUCAGGAAUCAGACUUUGUUUCCCUCCCAGGUGCAAUAAUUAUCUUGACUGAUUAGGUGCUUUCUCCUUCCAUUUGUUUCGCUCAUAAACCUUGAAAGGUUUGACUAAGAUGUCCUCAUCAUUUGUUCAAAACCCUUAUUCUUGUGUGUGAAAUAAGCUUGUUAUUGAUGACCCACUUUGAUAUAUCAAGGUUUAACAGUUGAUACAUACAUAAGGGUUGUCCACUGCUGUUUUUACUUGUCUGGGAUUGUAGCUUAACUUUCCCUUCUGGGUAAAUCGUUUAUGUGCACAACUCAAAUGAAAUAGAAGCUAGAGAGACUCUGAGAAGAACUCAUUGGGAUAAAUUUCAAACCAAACUUGAUAAUAUAUAGAUUUGAUAUAAAAUGUGGAGACUAGGUAGAGUAAAUGUUAUCUGAAAUGGUGGAUGAACUUGGAUUUGAAAGAAAAACACUGUGUGUGAACUUUUACUCUGCUUAUGACAGUCUGAGAAGACUGAUUUAUAUUUUACACAAUGCUAGAGUUUGGUAGAAUUCAAGGCAAAAUAGUAGCUGAUAAAUUUUUUUAACUUAUAGCUCUCUGACCAGUUCUGUGGUCCUUUAUAUUUUGAAAGGUUUCAAGACUGCAUCAAAUAUUUGCACCUAACGGCAUCUCUGUUGUGCAAAAUACAAAUUAGUGAUUAGCUAUAAAGGUAGCCGCUACUCUAGUUGAUCCAUUAGUAUAUCCAUGCAUGUAUGUAAUUUCUGAAGAGAUGUUGGUGGCAUUGUGGCUUUGAGAUUAUGUAUGUUUAAUUGGUUUCAGAUACAUGCAAUGAUGCAAGAACGGGAAGUUGAGCAAGUAAUUGAAUUUCUGCAGUCCCUUGUUUCCCAAAUCAAAUCUUCAUAGUUUUAUUUUCAUUGGUCAAGUCUUCAUAGUUUCAUAUCACUGGCUCGAGUAGUUUAAGUUUUAUGUUCCUUUCAUUUUUUCCUGUUCUCAGUUUCAUACUUUGUUAUUUAUAUUUUAAAUUUGUCUAUAGGGAGAUGAAGGCAUAAAAUCCGCAAUGAAGGAGCACAGCAUCAAUUUUCAAGUCCUGGAGCUGCAUUCUGCAUGGUGCUGUCUUUAUUAUGUUUUCUUUUCUAAUCUUGUUGAACUGUUGAGAUGGUGAGAAUUAUUAGCUUAAAAUUGUGAUUGAAUUUAACCGGUACAGCAGAUGUGCUUGCUUAUUAUUCUGUUUGUCAUAAUGUGUUUCCAGUUUGCGUAUUAGGCUGUCAUAUACAGCAGCUCUUCUAUUAUACAUUUUGUUUUUUGACAACUGAACAAGUAGAGAUUAAUUGUCUACUGCGAACUCAUACAAUGAAACAGUGCAAAUAUUGUACUCUUAGGCACUCGUUGCCUGAGAGGCUAUUCCAUGUGGUUUUAGUCGUUUCGUAAACAAACAAAAAAUAAUAAAAAUUGACGUGAAGCCAGUAAAAAGUGCUUUUCUCAUCAGAAAAAUUGACGUGAAGCCACUUUUCUCAUCACAAAACCACUGAGAAAAGUGCUUCUAUAUUGCAGUAAUCACUUUUAAAUAAAGGCAGUACUCGAAGCAAUGCCAAACAAGCUGCAACAUGCAAGCUUCUUUACAACGAGUUUUACACAACACCCGACCAAGAGCACGUAGUUACAUAAGGAAAUAAGACCUUUCCCGUGUUUGGGUGAACAGGGUUUGGAUUAGUCCCAAACAAAUGGCUUUCGGGAUUUUGCAUGAUUUGAGAGCAUAUAUUGAAAACCAUUGGCCUAAUGAAAAGACUCAAAUGAGAAUAUCCUAUAGAGCAGAAUUUGGAUGAGAAGAUAUAAGAAAAGAAAAUGCAGAACCAGAGGCGGUAUCAGACACGAAAAGUUUCUCCAUGAAUUUUGAAGUGAUAAGGUGUGUUGUAAUCUUUCACAAAAAACUCUCCUAAACUGGUAAACAGGCGAAAUACCUCCAUCAUACAAUACUUUGAAAUCGGUGUUUUACACGACUAUUGAGGGAAAUUAUCAAAAAUAGACUUGCUUGAGAAAAUUGGUUAAGAC
This 22421-nucleotide long non-coding RNA is filed under the name Fragaria vesca (wild strawberry). Its description in RNAcentral is "long non-coding RNA (FVES_LNC003836)". The record is from RNAcentral. Lineage: Eukaryota; Viridiplantae; Streptophyta; Magnoliopsida; Rosales; Rosaceae.